CCUACGGGUGGCUGCAGUGGGGAAUAUUGGGCAAUGGGCGCAAGCCUGACCCAGCAACGCCGCGUGAAGGAAGAAGGCUUUCGGGUUGUAAACUUCUUUUCUGAGGGACGAAGAUAGUGACGUUACCUCAGGCAUCAGCCACGGCCAACUACGUGCCAGCAGCCGCGGUAAUACGUAGGUGGCAAGCGUUAUCCGGAUUGAUUGGGUGGAAAGGGCGUGUAGGCGGGAAAGCAAGUCAGAUGUGAAAACUCAGGGCACAACCCUGAGCCUGCAUUUGAAACUGUUUUUCUUGAGUGCGGGAGAGGCAAGCGGAAUUCCGAGUGUAGCGGUGAAAUGCGUAGAGAUACGGAGGAACACCAGUGGCGAAGGCGGAUUGCUGGACAGUAACUGACGCUGAGGCGCGAAAGCGUGGGGAGCAAACAGGAUUAGAUACCCGAGUAGUC
RNAcentral lists this ribosomal RNA (443 nucleotides) under uncultured bacterium. Its description in RNAcentral is "partial 16S ribosomal RNA". It matches the Rfam family "Bacterial small subunit ribosomal RNA", at positions 338 to 795 of the family's 1533-position model. The record is from RNAcentral.